Long non-coding RNA from Temnothorax curvispinosus, 371 nucleotides. RefSeq lists it as uncharacterized. The record is from RefSeq and is a predicted model, not a curated record. Lineage: Eukaryota; Metazoa; Arthropoda; Insecta; Hymenoptera; Formicidae. The transcript has 3 exons.
GCAGAAACACAAACACGACGGAAGAUGCAUGCUCACGCGUGGGUAUGUCCCUGAUUUGUCGAAAGAGGUGGGAGCACGUGUCGCUGCUGCCGCGAACACGCUGAGAAAGUACGCGAUAUAUUAGUCUUCGUCGGGCGUACUCGCGAGAUCGGCCGCCGCGCCGAGCCAACAGCGGUUUCAUCGAUCGUUACCAUCCGGAGUUUGCGACUCGUAGAGUCGUAGAUCGGCCGAUUUAUCAUGGCGAGACACACGCCUCUUCAACUCUUAAUACUAUUCGCUUUCGUGAUCGUCAUCGGCCAAUCACGAACAGCUUCACGUGUUGAUGACACCGAUGUUCGUAACAAGUAUGACGUUCAAGUUAGGAAACCGUU